Molecule: transfer RNA, 66 nt
Filed under: Chaetogammarus marinus
Lineage: Eukaryota; Metazoa; Arthropoda; Malacostraca; Amphipoda; Gammaridae
Description: tRNA-Phe
Source: RNAcentral
UGCCUAGGUGGUUCAAUUAGACCGCCACAUUGAAGCUGUGGAGAUGGGCAACGGCCCCCUAGGCAG